Molecule: ribosomal RNA, 187 nt
Filed under: Faecalibacterium prausnitzii
Lineage: Bacteria; Bacillati; Bacillota; Clostridia; Eubacteriales; Oscillospiraceae
Description: partial 16S ribosomal RNA
Rfam family: Bacterial small subunit ribosomal RNA
Source: RNAcentral
UUUAUAAAGAGUUUGAUCCUGGCUCAGGACGAACGCUGGCGGCGCGCCUAACACAUGCAAGUCGAACGAGCGAGAGAGAGUUUACUUUUUCGAGCGAGUGGCGAACGGGUGAGUAACGCGUGAGGAACCUGCCUCAAAGAGGGGGACAACAGUUGGAAACGACUGCUAAUACCGCAUAAGCCCACGG